CUCAUUAGCCAUGAUUUUCUUGAGCUCAGCCCCUGUAAACUCACCAUUUCCAAACUCCAAACUAAACGUAUUUGUAUUUGAAUUUGAGUCGAUUGAAUUAUUUGGGGAUAAUUGACCAAUAUGCCCUCCAGGAGAAGGAGGAAGCUUAGGUGAUUCAUCAGCAAAGUUCAUCCUCCCCAUAAAACUAUCCAUUGACACACUUCUAUAAUGCCUUGUUGUUGGAGCAAUGUCUCCACCUGCACUCCGUUUAAUCCCUUUAUCAUUAACACUACUUGUAGCUUCAUUAUCACUGCUAUCACCUCCAUUUGUUUUUGUUCCACUAGCUCGACUAUCUAAAUCUUCACGAUUCUCAGUUCCUUGUUUAUCGUCAGUUCCAGAAGAGUUUAAUGUGUCAAGAUUUUCAAGAUUCAUAUAAGCAGAAAACAAAUCGUCAACAACUUCCCCUUCGGAGGCUCUUUUAGUUGCUCAGGUAUGCCAGCUUUAUCCCAAUGCAAUACCUAGUAUGCUAGUUUCCUGUUUUUUCAGAGUCUAUACCAANACGCAUUUUCCUCUCUUUUGAUCUUGCAGCAGAUUGUCGAUUUGCCAAAAUCCUAAAACACAUCACGAAAAAAAAUAUUUGUUUAUUCAAAUAUCAAAAUAAAUAUUCAGAUUUCUCCAAUUCUAAUGUAAAUAUUACUGGAAAAAAAAGUAUAACAAAACUGUAGACCAAAUAGUCUAUAGAGUUAAUGCAACAAGGUUUCACUUUUUUUUUUUUUUUACAAAUUAACAGAAUUUGAAAAAAGCUACAUACCUUUUGGCUCGUUUGGGAUCAGAUAAAGCAAUCUCUGCAAGUUUCUCAUUAGCCAUGAUUUUCUUGAGCUCAGCNUCAUUAGCAUGAUUUUCUUGAGCUCAGCCCCUGUAAACUCACCAUUUCCAAACUCCAAACUAAACGUAUUUGUAUUUGAAUUUGAGUCGAUUGAAUUAUUUGGGGAUAAUUGACCAAUAUGCCCUCCAGGAGAAGGAGGAAGCUUAGGUGAUUCAUCAGCAAAGUUCAUCCUCCCCAUAAAACUAUCCAUUGACACACUUCUAUAAUGCCUUGUUGUUGGAGCAAUGUCUCCACCUGCACUUCUUUUAAUCCCUUUAUCAUUAACACUACUUGUAGCUUCAUUAUCACUGCUAUCACCUCCAUUUGUUUUUGUUCCACUAGCUCGACUAUCUAAAUCUUCACGAUUCUCAGUUCCUUGUUUAUCGUCAGUUCCAGAAGAGUUUAAUGUGUCGAGAUUUUCAAGAUUCAUAUAAGCAGAAAACAAAUCGUCAACAACUUCCCCUUCGGAUUUUCUUUCUCCCAUUCCUUCUGCAUUACCCUCGCCUCCACUUUUUUCCCAGCUUGAUUCGCGUUUCACUAACUGGAUUGGCUUUGACGCUUGAUUGUUUGAAGAUGUAACCCUGUCUAAAGUGUUGGGAGUUCUUAACGGAAUCAAUGGUGGAGAGGAUUGUAAGAUUGUUGAGAAUCCAAAUGGGAUAUCACUGUUGGAACGUCUGUGUGCUUUCCGUGGUGGAAGAUUCUCCGUUCGAGUAGAAUUGCCGGAAUUGCUCCUUGCGAAAGGUGAAGAAGGAGGUAAUAAAGAGUGUGCAUUUGCGUCACGAUCUUCCAUGGAAACAUCGGUUAUGACCUGAUCGGAGGAGCGUGCUGAAGGGGAAUCGCGAUAUGGGGAUGGACUCAAAGGAGGAAGAGAAUCGAGGGGGAAGAAAGAAGGCUGUGAUAAUGAUCGUGAAUGCGAUGGCCCUGGGCUGUGAUUGCUAUGAUUGAAACUCUGUGAACCCCCGAUUUUAUGAGUAUUCCCGGAGCUCUGGGUCACCGGAAUCUGUGAGUAAGGGGAUACCGGAGGAAACUGCGGGUGAGACGGCGGGAUUCCGACUCUUUUACUGCUGUUAUCAAGGUUAUAAUUUGGGGAAAACUGUCGAGUUUGACCACGAAACUGUGCUGUGUUCAACUGCGGUAUAUCAAGUUGAUUAAAAUUGACAGGCUUUUGUUGUUGUUGUUUAGGAACCGAUGAUGACGAAGUUCCGAAGGAAGAUUGUACUCUUUGGAUCAUAUCACUGUUUCCUUCCUCAGUAUCCCCCAUUUCUUUACAAUUUCCCGGAUUCUCACCCAAAAACCCCACCACUGCUCAAUCGAUCAGAAUAAUUUAAAAACCCUAGACACACUUUUCAGCCCAAUCCCUCAGAAAUGGUGAAACAAUAGAAACAAAAACCUAGUACACACAACAAAAAUGAAAUGAAGGACCCAAUUCGAAACAUCACCGACCAAGUUCAAACCCUAAUCCAAAAAAACCAAAACCCAACAUAAUUCAAAAAGAAACAAAGAGUUUACCGACAAAUUUCGGUGAGAAGGGGUUGUUGUAAGGUCCGGCGAAUGGUGACGACGAAGUUGGGGUUUUCUCUCUCUAGAAAGUCCAGAAAUUUCUCACACCAAAGUUAAUAAUUGUUGUAUGUUGUAUAUAUCGAUGACGAUGACUUGUACACGGAUUUCAU
This 2514-nucleotide long non-coding RNA is filed under the name Lactuca sativa (garden lettuce). RNAcentral describes it as "long non-coding RNA (LSAT_LNC008611)". The record is from RNAcentral. Lineage: Eukaryota; Viridiplantae; Streptophyta; Magnoliopsida; Asterales; Asteraceae.